GAGUUGUAAUUUGUAGAGGAUGUUUUGGGUACCGCCCCGGUUUAAAUUUCUUGGAACAGAAUGUCAAAGAGGGUGAGAGUCCCGUCUUGGACCGCGGUAGGGCCUGUGUAAAACUCCUUCGACGAGUCGACUUGUUUGGGAAUGCAGGUCAAAAUGGGUGGUAAAUUUCAUCUAAAGCUAAAUAUUGGCCAGAGACCGAUAGCGCACAAGUAGAGUGAUCGAAAGAUGAAAAGCACUUUGAAAAGAGAGUUAAACAGUAUGUGAAAUUGUUGAAAGGGAAGCGCUGGCAACCAGACUCGUGCGCGGGGUUCCCCCUUGCUUCUGCUUGGGUCACUUCCCCGUGUCCGGGCCAUCAUCAGUUUCGGGGGUCGGUUAAAGGCUCUGGGAAUGUAUCCACGCCUUCGGGGGUGGACUUAUAGCCCAGGGUGUCAUGCGGCCACCCGGGACUGAGGAACGCGCUUCGGCGAGGAUGAUGGCGUAAUGGUUGUCAGCGGCCCGUCUUGAAACACGGACCAAGGAGUCUAACAUCUAUGCGAGUGUUCGGGUGUCAAACCCUUGCGCGGAAUGAAAGUGAACGGAGGUAGGAAGGCUUAAGCCUGCACUAUCGACCGAUCCUGAUGUCUUCGGAUGGAUUUGAGUAAGAGCAUAGCUGUUGGGACCCGAAAGAUGGUGAACUAUGCGUGAAUAGGGUGAAGCCAGAGGAAACUCUGGUGGAGGCUCGCAGCGGUUCUGACGUGCAAAUCGAUCGUCAAAUU
RNAcentral lists this ribosomal RNA (755 nucleotides) under Knufia karalitana. RNAcentral's name for it is "LSU rRNA". It matches the Rfam family "Eukaryotic large subunit ribosomal RNA", at positions 140 to 911 of the family's 3401-position model. The record is from RNAcentral. Lineage: Eukaryota; Fungi; Ascomycota; Eurotiomycetes; Chaetothyriales; Trichomeriaceae.